Molecule: RNA transcript, 1312 nt
Organism: Zophobas morio
Lineage: Eukaryota; Metazoa; Arthropoda; Insecta; Coleoptera; Tenebrionidae
Exons: 5
Source: RefSeq, a predicted model, not a curated record
CAAGACAGCAGCGACUCAUUUGACAAGUCCUUCACAUUUCACCCCGAUGUCGUACAACAAUCUCAAAAUUCUCGUGAAAAACGACAAAGUUAAAGUUUUAGCCCGAACGGUACUUCGGUUUCGAAACUCGAAGUAUGCAAAUCAUUUGCCAAAGUUAUCGGCGAUUCAGACUUGGAGGUACCUUAACAAAUUUGGUAAGGAACACAGACAUUAGGGGCGUCAGGUUUAAACACACCCGAGGACCUCUACCGUGGGAAUGCAAAGACAAAUUCGCUGAUAAACCCCAGAAGAAAUUCAGAAAGGCGGAAGUCGAGACUGUGGUAGAAAAAGAGUGUCCGGAUAAGUGCGCUGUGUUACAGAAACCCAAGCGCAACACGUACGAGUGGGUGGUCGACGACGACGCCAAACCGUGCAAACCCUUCAAGAUUAAAGCCGUUAUUGAGAAAAGCGUGUGCGAAAUGCGGAGAUUCAAGGAGUGUUUGCACAAGUGCGGCGACCCGGCGCUCUGCCAAAACCUAGUACCCGACUGCAGCAAAAUCACCAAAAUAUACCCCAUGAUGGAAGCCAUCGAAAAAGGGUCGAUACCUGGCUGUGCCCGGCCUCUAGAAACCAAGAAACAAGCGAGCUAAACGUCAAAAAAUCAACAAAAUUUUCGUAGAAUGAGCAUCCUUCUGAGGCGCGGCAACAAGAACGUUACAUGGGCUGUCAGAUAUUUCUACUACCGGAGGGUUCAAGAAGGAUGCGAGUGUCCCGAGCCUGAAAAGUACCCCAUUGUAGAGGAAAAAAAGUGCGGCUGCAGUUUCACAACCUGGAAACCGAAAUCAAGGAAAGUGCUUGAGUGCGAAACGCGGAGAGCAACUAGGAGGAGGAAGGAAUCAAGACGCUGUUACGCCGGAAUGCAAGUUAAAAAACCUCCACCGGAUUGUGAUCCUGCUGAAACAGACCCGUUCAAGGGGAAAUGUUGCCGCCAACAGAAAAAACCCAAAGAACAGCAGCCGCCGGAACUUUUCGAAAAAAAAAUGCCUGCUGCCGACUGGGACGUCGACUGCUAAAUCAUGAAAAACACCGGAACAAAGAAUAAAGUAAAGUAACUGAAUGAACAAUGGGUUUCAGGAGGUGUAGUUGGACAUAUGGUCGAAGAUAGGGCGUCGAGUGUUGCUUCCGGAAAAUUAUCAGUCAUCCAUCAUGCUGUGCGAUGGAUCUAUCGAGAGAAAAUUACGUAAAAUACUCGUGGAGUGUCGCCUAAUGUCGACUAUCAUCGGAAACGGAAGACACGCAUGCGUAUUGCUCAUGUCCCAAGAUUACUUUUACU